Molecule: long non-coding RNA, 276 nt
Filed under: Lathyrus oleraceus (garden pea)
Lineage: Eukaryota; Viridiplantae; Streptophyta; Magnoliopsida; Fabales; Fabaceae
Description: Pisum sativum (pea) long non-coding RNA (PSAT_LNC026301)
Source: RNAcentral
CAUCAUCCUGCAAAAAGAUUUUAAAAAUAAUGACAAUUGGUACGUGAAUUAAUUAAAAUAAAACAGAAGUCAAAUUAAAAGUCAACCAACCAAACUAGGUAAAAAAUAAAUCCAAAAUAAAUUGAAAAUGUGAAAUAAAAUUCCAAUAAAAGUUCAGGUUGACCAUGAGAUAGUGGUCAACCUUCAUCCCAAAAAUCAAAUGCUAACAAUAAUUUUAAGUCAUAAAAAUAAAAUCAAUAAAAAAAAGUGUGUUAAAAUGGACCAUUUAGAAUAAAU